Long non-coding RNA from Triticum dicoccoides, 296 nucleotides. RefSeq lists it as uncharacterized. The transcript has 3 exons. NCBI's taxonomy places the organism in Eukaryota, Viridiplantae, Streptophyta, Magnoliopsida, Poales, Poaceae. The record is from RefSeq and is a predicted model, not a curated record.
CUGGAAUCUGUAUGAUCCACGCGAUCAAGCAGUAUGAUGGGGACAAAAUGAAGUGGCCACUUACCAAGGUUAUUCCUUCUGAACAUCCAGUAUACUUGCUGCAUUUGAUCUAUGUUGCUGCUGGAAAGGACGUGAUCCUGUAGAAAUCAUAUAUAGAUGGAGAUCAAGCACAAGUCAACCAUUAUUGCUAAUGUUUCCAAGCAUAACGAGUUCCUUCUGGAUACAACUUGUUUUCUUUCAUGUGAAGAACUCGGACUGAUAUGGACAUGCCAUCACCCUUGAGGCCUCGUCCCGCA